ACCUAACUGAACCUUCGGGGAACGUUAACGGCGUCGAGCGGCGGACGGGUGAGUAAUGCCUAGGAAAUUGCCCUGAUGUGGGGGAUAACCAUUGGAAACGAUGGCUAAUACCGCAUAAUGCCUUCGGGCCAAAGAGGGGGACCUUCGGGCCUCUCGCGUCAGGAUAUGCCUAGGUGGGAUUAGCUAGUUGGUGAGGUAAGGGCUCACCAAGGCGACGAUCCCUAGCUGGUCUGAGAGGAUGAUCAGCCACACUGGAACUGAGACACGGUCCAGACUCCUACGGGAGGCAGCAGUGGGGAAUAUUGCACAAUGGGCGCAAGCCUGAUGCAGCCAUGCCGCGUGUAUGAAGAAGGCCUUCGGGUUGUAAAGUACUUUCAGCAGUGAGGAAGGUGGUGUAGUUAAUAACUGCAUCAUUUGACGUUAGCUGCAGAAGAAGCACCGGCUAACUCCGUGCCAGCAGCCGCGGUAAUACGGAGGGUGCGAGCGUUAAUCGGAAUUACUGGGCGUAAAGCGCAUGCAGGUGGUUUGUUAAGUCAGAUGUGAAAGCCCGGGGCUCAACCUCGGAAUUGCAUUUGAAACUGGCAGACUAGAGUACUGUAGAGGGGGGUAGAAUUUCAGGUGUAGCGGUGAAAUGCGUAGAGAUCUGAAGGAAUACCGG
RNAcentral lists this ribosomal RNA (658 nucleotides) under bacterium Ss37. RNAcentral describes it as "bacterial SSU rRNA". It matches the Rfam family "Bacterial small subunit ribosomal RNA", at positions 61 to 712 of the family's 1533-position model. The record is from RNAcentral.